CAUUCGUGAUGAUUUUGAUCCGUGUUGAUUGAUUUUUUAUUAUCAUAACCAGUUUUCUGUUUUAUACGAUAUUAAAAUGCUAAGUAAUAAAAGAGAACGCUGUAUUAUAUAAUAUUGGGAGAAAGAAGAAAAGCAACUUUUUAAAAAUAUACUACGACCCUAUAUAUCCACAAUUGAGAUAAAAAGAUUUAAGCACGAACGUUAAUAAUGAGAAAAUCAAGGCUUGGAGCGAUAUAACAGAGAAAUUUAAUCUAGCAAAUUUUAGGACUAGAGACAAAGAACAAUUGAGGAACCAAUGGAAGUGUAUUAAAUUGAAUACAAAAAAAGAGUUGUCAUCUUAUCAUCGUGAAGCAUCAAAAACUGGAGGUGGACCAAAGCCACCAUCACCUUCUCCAGACACAAUAGAUGUGGCAGAGGUGAUACCGCAAGACUUCGAAGUCGAUUUAAAUGAAUUUGAUUGUGAUGGUGAGGACAAUACAAAUAUUAUUUUGGAAGUAAAUGAUACCCCAAAAGGAAAUAAAGGCAACAAUGAUAAGGAUUAUAUAACAAAACCUAAAGAAAAUCAUGUUGAACCGAACAACAAGAAUCCCCUAACAACUCUAAAGAAACCUACAAGGAAAACACCGAAAGCAAGUAGUAGUUUCAGUUCUGGAGAAGCCUCAUAUGCAGAUGUGCAUUGCUUUCAUGGUUCUGGAAAAUGAGCGCCUUCAAAUAGAACAUAAACAUAGACUUAAGAAUAUGGCUGAGAUGCACAGCCAAGUAAUGGUAAAUUUAAAAUUACAGACAGAAAUUCUCAAAAAGACAUUAGAGACAAUAUAUCA
Long non-coding RNA from Pieris brassicae (large cabbage white), 821 nucleotides. RefSeq lists it as uncharacterized. Lineage: Eukaryota; Metazoa; Arthropoda; Insecta; Lepidoptera; Pieridae. The record is from RefSeq and is a predicted model, not a curated record. The transcript is spliced from 6 exons.